This is a long non-coding RNA of Nematolebias whitei (Rio pearlfish), 359 nucleotides long. RefSeq lists it as uncharacterized. The record is from RefSeq and is a predicted model, not a curated record. NCBI's taxonomy places the organism in Eukaryota, Metazoa, Chordata, Actinopteri, Cyprinodontiformes, Rivulidae. The transcript has 3 exons.
AAGACAGGUCUUGAAUGUAAAUCAGUCAAAUUCUCCACAGAAACUGAGAUAGAGGUUAAAAUACAGGCGGAGACGAACAUAAGUUUGUGAUCAAUAGAUCGAUGCAGAGGAUCGGUGAAGAACAUCCACCUGUUGAUCAACCUCAGUCACAUACCCAGUAAUGAAGCGUAACAGAAGUUAUGAUUUGCUGCCACCAGACAUGUCGGUGCUGAGAGUUGGUCUCCUGGGAAAUAGCUGGUCUGAGAGGAGUUCAGUGGCGAACUUUCUACUGGGAGAAAAAAAAACGAGUACCGAUGAAGAGCCAGAAGUCUGCGUACAAUCCACAGGACACGUCAAAGACAAAACAAUAGUUCUCAUAA